CGGAGGAAAAGAAAUCAAGCGAGAUUCCCCCAGUAGCGGCGAGCGAACGGGGAAAAGCCUAAACCGUCUCUUCGGAGACGGGGUUGCGGGACCUUCAUCAUGAGUGAAUCAUCCUAGUCGAAGCGGUCUGGAAAGGCCCGGCACAGCAGGUAACACCCCUGUAGGCGAAAGGACGAGCCAUUCCGAAGGGAUCCCAAGUACCGCGGGGCACGUGAAAUCCCGUGGGAAUCCGGGGGGACCACCCUCCAAGGCUAAAUACUCCUCAGCGACCGAUAGUGAACCAGUACCGUGAGGGAAAGGUGAAAAGCACCCCGGAAGGGGAGUGAAACAGAACCUGAACCCGUAUGCUUACAAGCAGUCGGAGCGCGAAAGCGUGACGGCGUGCCUUUUGUAGAAUGAACCGGCGAGUUGCGGUCACGAGCAAGGUUAAGGCGAGAAGCCGUAGCCGAAGCGAAAGCGAGUCUGAAUAGGGCGAGUUAAGUUCGUGGCUGCAGACCCGAAACCGGGUGAUCUACCCAUGUCCAGGGUGAAGCGGAGGUAAAACUUCGUGGAGGCCCGAACCGACCGACGUUGAAAAGUCGGCGGAUGAGGUGUGGGUAGGGGAGAAAUUCCAAUCGAACUCGGAGAUAGCUGGUUCUCCCCGAAAUAGCUUUAGGGCUAGCCUCGGUGGUAAGAAUGCGGGAGGUAAAGCGCUGAUAGGGCUAGGGGCCUUCACCGGUUACCGAACCCUGUCAAACUCAGAAUGCCCGUAUUUAUCCCCGGGAGUCAGACGGCGAGUGCUAAGAUCCGUCGUCAAAAGGGAAACAGCCCAGACCGACAGCUAAGGUCCC
This 830-nucleotide ribosomal RNA is filed under the name Heliobacterium chlorum. Its description in RNAcentral is "partial 23S ribosomal RNA". It matches the Rfam family "Bacterial large subunit ribosomal RNA", at positions 211 to 1048 of the family's 2925-position model. Lineage: Bacteria; Bacillati; Bacillota; Clostridia; Eubacteriales; Heliobacteriaceae. The record is from RNAcentral.